Molecule: ribosomal RNA, 253 nt
Filed under: uncultured bacterium
Lineage: Bacteria
Description: partial 16S ribosomal RNA
Rfam family: Bacterial small subunit ribosomal RNA
Source: RNAcentral
UACGUAGGGUGCAAGCGUUGCCCGGAUUUAUUGGGCGUAAAGGGCGCGUAGGCGGCUCGGCACGUCCGUUGUGAAAUCGCCCGGCUCAACUGGGCGGGGUCAGCGGAUACGGUCGAGCUUGAGCAAGCUAGGGGGCAAUGGAAUUCCCGGUGUAGCGGUGGAAUGCGUAGAUAUCGGGAAGAACACCGGUGGCGAAGGCGGCUCGCUGGGCUGUUGCUGACGCUGAUGCGCGAAAGCGUGGGGAGCAAACAGG